This 320-nucleotide small nuclear RNA is filed under the name Octodon degus (degu). Its description in RNAcentral is "7SK RNA (ENSODEG00000024390.1)". It matches the Rfam family "7SK RNA". Rfam says of the family: 7SK was discovered as an abundant small nuclear RNA in the mid-70s but a possible function has only recently been suggested. Two independent studies have found that 7SK RNA binds the CDK9/cyclin T complex (known as elongation factor P-TEFb). Lineage: Eukaryota; Metazoa; Chordata; Mammalia; Rodentia; Octodontidae. The record is from RNAcentral.
GGACGUGAGGGGGAUCUGGCUGUGACACCUGUCACUCCAUUGAUCUCUAGGGUUGAUUUGGCUGAUCUGGCCGGCUAGGCGGGUGUCCCCUUCCUCCCUCAACGAUCCAUGUGUGUCCCUCCCGAAGCUGUGCGCUCGGUCGAAGGGGACAACCACCCCAAUAGAGGAGGACCAUUCCUUGAUCAGGGUAUACGAGUGGCUGCGCUUCCCUGCUAGAACCUCCAAAUAAGCUCUCAAGAAUGAUUGAAAUAAGUCUUGCUUUCUAGAUACCCAUUUUGCAGCUAUAGAUGUGACCAAGUGCCAGUCAAAAAAGUUUUUUU